Molecule: long non-coding RNA, 940 nt
Organism: Triplophysa dalaica
Lineage: Eukaryota; Metazoa; Chordata; Actinopteri; Cypriniformes; Nemacheilidae
Exons: 3
Source: RefSeq, a predicted model, not a curated record
UUAACAGGUUUCGCUUGCUAAAGACAAUCAGAAAUAUGUCUGGAGUCACAACUCUGGAGGACCAUCUCUAUGCCUGAGGGAGAGUGUCCUGCAAAUAUCCAGUAACAAAACAUCAAGAUUGUCAAAUCAGAUAAAGCUGCAGGGCCGGAUCAUCCAAUGGGCCUUAUGGACAGAGGCCGAGGGACCUUUGCAGCUUUGGGCCCAGGCAAGGUAGCGGCAAGAAGAAGCAGCACCGUACGACAGGUGACUUCUCUGAAGACUUCUGUGUACAAAACAUUUCCAACAACCUUUCACUGUCAUCGACUGUUUGGAUAUACACAUAUAAGAAAGUUAUUCUGUAAAUAUGCACAUGGUUACCAGACAGAGGCUGUAUGAAAGAAUAUGUUUGUGUGUGCAAUAUGGAAGAAUCUAAUAGAACUGAAUUGGUAGAGGUGUGGUAGUGUGUGGUAGUGAGUUACAGCAUGCAGGGAAAUGUCUAAAUAUUUUUGUUGCAGGUCCGGAAAAGCAUUGUUGCAAUCAUAUAGUGUAAAUCCUGUAUGAUGGAGGAUGUGUACAGCUGUAGAUAUUGUCCUUCAGGUUGUGAUCAUAGUUUGUAAUCCUGAAUAAUAUACACAUAGUACCUUAUAGGCAAUUUUAAAACUUUAUUUUGCACACGUGUGUUGUCCAUAAGACCCUUGUGCCCAGGGACCUCUGAAUUCUUAAUCCGGGCCUGCUCAGCUGCCAUUGUUGCAAGUCUUGCUUCAUCACAACAGGGUGGUCAACCGCACCUCCGUUUCCGUUUAAAAAACGUUUUGUCGGGGCUGGCUGAAUGCAGCCCUGAAUUCAAUGUGUUAACACAUGUGAUUAGCAUCUGAUGUGUCCACCUGUCAAAUUGAAUGUGUUUGGAGUUGGAAAAGGCAGUGAAAUAUUUCUGCAGCUCACUGAUUCUAUACUGGAAAAG